RNAcentral lists this ribosomal RNA (406 nucleotides) under uncultured bacterium. RNAcentral's name for it is "partial 16S ribosomal RNA". It matches the Rfam family "Bacterial small subunit ribosomal RNA", at positions 28 to 526 of the family's 1533-position model. The record is from RNAcentral.
GAUGAACGCUAGCUACAGGCUUAACACAUGCAAGUCGAGGGACCGGCGCACGGGUGAUUAACAGGUACCCAACCUGCCCUUUACUCGGGGAUAGCCUUUCGAAAGCAAGAUUCAUACCCGAUCUACAGGAUGGGGAUGCGUUCCAUUAGGUUGUUGUUGAGGGACCGGCCGACCAAGCCUUGGAUGGAGAGGGGUUCUGAGAGGAAGGUCCCCCACAUUGGAACUGAGGCACAGUCCAAACUCCGACGGGGGGCAGCGGUAAGGAAUAUUGGUGAAGGGGCGCUGGCCUGAACCAGCCAAGUAGCGUGAAGGAGGAUUGCUUAUGGGUCGUAAACUUCCUGUAUAUAAGAAUCUGUAUUAUAUGAAUAAGGAUCGGCUAACUCCGUGCCAGCAGCCGCGGUAAUUC